Molecule: ribosomal RNA, 579 nt
Filed under: Microbacterium sp. TDB-146
Lineage: Bacteria; Bacillati; Actinomycetota; Actinomycetes; Micrococcales; Microbacteriaceae
Description: bacterial SSU rRNA
Rfam family: Bacterial small subunit ribosomal RNA
Source: RNAcentral
ACGGGUGAGUAACACGUGAGCAACCUGCCCCUGACUCUGGGAUAAGCGCUGGAAACGGCGUCUAAUACUGGAUACGAGUAGCGAUCGCAUGGUCAGCUACUGGAAAGAUUUUUUGGUUGGGGAUGGGCUCGCGGCCUAUCAGCUUGUUGGUGAGGUAAUGGCUCACCAAGGCGUCGACGGGUAGCCGGCCUGAGAGGGUGACCGGCCACACUGGGACUGAGACACGGCCCAGACUCCUACGGGAGGCAGCAGUGGGGAAUAUUGCACAAUGGGCGGAAGCCUGAUGCAGCAACGCCGCGUGAGGGAUGACGGCCUUCGGGUUGUAAACCUCUUUUAGCAGGGAAGAAGCGAAAGUGACGGUACCUGCAGAAAAAGCGCCGGCUAACUACGUGCCAGCAGCCGCGGUAAUACGUAGGGCGCAAGCGUUAUCCGGAAUUAUUGGGCGUAAAGAGCUCGUAGGCGGUUUGUCGCGUCUGCUGUGAAAUCCCGAGGCUCAACCUCGGGCCUGCAGUGGGUACGGGCAGACUAGAGUGCGGUAGGGGAGAUUGGAAUUCCUGGUGUAGCGGUGGAAUGCGCAGA